GAAAACCAAGCAAAAGUCACUGUCAGGGGACCUCCCACCCACCAUACAGGGGAACACUCGGCAGAGCCAGAGGCCUGGGCCCAAGUCCUGCCACCAGCUGGCUGUGAAACUGUGGUACAGCACCUUGUGUCCUGCCACCAGCCGGCUGUGAAACUGGUACAGCACCUUGUCCUCAGGUCCUUGGUUUCCUCACUUGUAAAUUCAUGGUUCUCCAUGGCAUCUCUGGUCUUCAACAUUAUUUUGCAUAGAGUCUCAGAAGCUUUAGUGUGAGCGGAUGAUAUGGGCACGAAGCAAGGCACCCAGAAGUGGGGGCAACUACUCUGCUUUCUAAAAUGCAAGGGAACCGGAAAAUCCAGGAGCCGUGCCAAAUGAGAAGAGGAACAAAUGGAGGAACAUCCCAGUCAAGUGACAUUCCUAGUGACAUUCACCAGAACAGAGUCAAGCUUUGGAUCCCAUGUUCUGUGACUUCCUCUUCACCACGCUUCCUCCACACACGUAGCAGCUCAAGGGUUUCUGAUGAGUGGGGUCUAUGUUCCCUUUAUGAGCUGUAACGCACACCAUGAAGGUCUGCGGCUUGGCUAUUGAGUCAGUGAGAGCGUGAACCUACUAUUAGAAGAAAAACUCUGAAUACGUCUGAACGUCAGAAAGAACGAAGUUUGGACACAUUGUCUUUAAGAACUGUAACACUCACCCCAAGGGUUUAUGGAUUCAUUCUUGAAAUCAGUGAAACCAAAAGCUUUCCAAAGUUUAACACACAGGGAAAUGACUUACUGCAAAGAACCACUCUUCCCCACGAGACUUCGAGAAGACCCGCUGUCACGGACUGAGUUGUGUCCUCUUAAAAUUCAGAUGUUGGAGUCCAAACCCCCAGUAACUCAGAGUGUGAACGUAUUUGAAGAGGUCUUUAAAGAGGUGAUGAAGGUCUUUGUCUCUGACAAUUUGCCUCUGUGACGUGGAUGGGACUGGAAGUCCAUUUGGAGCCCUGUCUUCUCCACCUAGGGAGAGAGACCCCAUGAGCUCGUCAAGCUCCUUCUGUGACUGAUCAGAGAUCCCACCGUGAGUCCAGCUCCUGGUCCCAUGCUCUGGAUAUAUCGGUCCCUGGCAGCGUGCAACUCCUUAGCCAAAGACGUGGCAACUGCGGGUGAAGUAUCUCUGGGCAGGAAAUCAAUGCAGAAAUGCAACUGGGGAGAGGGGGCUUGGGGGCCAGUUCCAGGGAGAUUGGAACUGCUGUGUUCUCAUCAGCAGAAGUGGCCCCUGCCCACCCCCAUCCUAAUCCCUUCUCAUGUGGGAGAAGGUCUGUGAGCCCUCUCCCUACCAGGCAGGUUCUAUGGCAAUGUGGGCACAUACCCUGGGGCAGGGGCCGAGGGACUUAACUCACUUCAUGAGCGCCAAUGGAGGAGCGAAGGGAAUGCCUGAUGAAAACAACAUUCUACCAGUAUGCACUGUUUUCUAACCUACAGAGUGCCUCUGUGUUCACUGUCCCAUUUGAGAAUUCUAAGUAGAAUUCUGAACAGGCUGGAGCAGAUUGCCCACCCCAAGGGACAGAUGUUGGCUGGUACUGUUGGUAUUCAUGGAAGAUUCCUUCUGACACUCCCUCCUUCUUUGUAAUUGCCAUGAACUGGAGCACUGGGCCAAUAUAAAUCAUCCAAGGGUGAACACGCUGCACAUGGACGGCUCCUCUUUGUUUUUGAAGGGAUUCCAUCUCUAUUUUGCCAUGUGCUCCUUCACCCCACUCCCCACCCCCGUCUUUCAUUUCUUUCUCUGGAAAAGAUACUUCAACUCACAGGACUGCGAUGUUGAAACGGACACCCAAGAGCAUCACAGAUGGGCCAGGCCUGGACCUCUCGGGACAACAUUCCUCACGACUUUUAGAUAGAAGAGAUUAGAGAUUUGGGACUGGUGGCAACUGGUAACGUUUUCAGUGUUUGGUAAACAGCCAGGGUCCGGAGCUCUGGGAACAGCCUGAUUUAGCUCUUUGUUUAAGUUUUGUGUUAGAGGCUCCCAAGAAGCUGAUGCAGGGGAAAGAAAUUAACAACCAUGGCUCAUUCACAGCCAGGCAGCCAAAUGGACAGCUCUAUAAGACUCAAGCCGACAGCGGAGAGAGUGCAACCAAACAGCCUUGGCCCAGCUUUCAGAGGAGAACGUUAUUCACCCCAACUGCUCUGCAUCUGCCUGGAUGUCUGCCAAGAUCUGUGAGCAUUACAGCGUUGCAGUCUUCUUUCCACCAAUGACCCCUCGCGCUGCUUCCAGAAGCCAAGAAAGUGGGCUUUGUCCUUGGGGAUUUAGGAGGCGGAGCGGCGCCCCCUUGAGGCCACAUGGUGGAGGCAGCGAUGAGACCUGGAGUCUAAAAUUCAGACUGAAUCACAGGAAGAAGCUAUUUACACAAGUCAAACAUGGUCCAAUCUUGGCAAUUUCAUAAGGUUCCAAUCCUUAAGGGAUCAAAACCUGGCCAACUGCUUCCACCGAGAGGUGUGCCUUUCAAUGCCAGGCUUGGAGUGUCCCUCUUUAUUUAAAAAGGAGAGGAUUCCACAGCAGAGCUUCUCAAACUCUUCCACCCAAAUCCCCUCACCACAGAGGGACAGGAGUCCUGGGCAUGUAGCCUAAAGCAGCCAGGAGAAAAAAACCUUGACCUUAAUUUUUUUAAUGAUUUCACAUGAAUCAGUGGAAUGUGUUUAUGAUAAAAUCAUCUCCUCCUGAAAUACAUGUGUAAAACUGCUGCCCCAGUUAAACGCACUUAGUCUAACCAAGCCCUAGGAUUGGCCUCUCCAGCAUGAGAAGCAUUUCCAGCACUCCAGCUCCCCAGCUCCCACUCUGGGAUCCCACCUCAGACCCUCCCACUUCCUUGCACUCUGGCCUCUCGCUCUUGACCCUGCUCCCGCCACGCUCUUUCCUCAGAGUCCAUCAGUCCUGUCUUGUCUUCACCUUGGUCUCUGCCAAGUGUGGGUCCAAGUCAUAUAUUUGGGCUGUGAUCACAGGAACCCCAAGCCCCAGACCUCCCAAAGCACCCUAUGGAGAGACCUUACCCUCCUGGACAGACCCUCUCCCCCCAGCUAGACCUCAUCCUCUGGGUAGACCCAUCUCCCCAACCAGAACUCACCCUCCUGAGUAAACCCCAUCCCCCUAGCUAGACUUCAUCCUCCUGGACAGAUCCCAUCCCCCCAGCUAGACCUCACCCUCUUGGGUAGAUGCAUCUCCCCAACCAGAACUCUCCUGGGUAGACCCCUUCUACCCAGCUAGACCUGAUCCUCUGGACAGACCCCAUCAUCCCAGCUAGACUUCUCCCUCCUGGACUGUCCCCAUCCCCCCUCCAGCCAGACCUCACCCCUCUGGGUAGACCCCAUCCCCCCAACUAGACCUCACCCUCCUGGAUGGACUCUACCCUCCUGGAGAUACCUUCCCCUCCUGGGUACAUCCCACGUGGCUACACACUCCUUCCCCUGUCAGCUUUCUCCCCCAGGGUUCUGGGCAGCAGAGUCUGUGAUAAAGGAUACUAAGUGAUUCCCCAAUACUUCCCGUUUCCAGCCUCCAGUGGGCUCUCCCUGGGGCUAACGGUUCUUUUUGCUAUUUCUCCAGGCUUUGCCUGAUGACAAGUAUACUCUGAGAGUGUCCUAAUGAUACAGAUUUUGGACCCUAUCCCAGUUCUACUGAAUCCAAGUCUCUGGGGGAGGAGUUGGGGCUCUGCAUCUGGACACCUUCCUGCAGGGUCCCUCCUGGGAGGCAAGCCCGGGGAGCACCGCUGAGGCUCGCCUCAGUGCCCAUCCUAGACCUUCAGCAGCUAGCAGAGGAUGUCCCCACCAUCCCUCAGCCCACACUCCCACUGUCGCCCCAGCCAGGCUUGGCACUGCCUCCUUUCUCAGAAGAUUAAGACCAUCUGCUGUUUCCCAAGUUUCCCACCCUCCACCCUAAAAAUUUCUCCGUUUCCCAGUCUUUCCUCGUCUCUCAGAAAAUAAACAUCUUCCCAGGCUGCCUCCCCAGUGGGUCUGCACUCCUUGCUGUCUUCCCAGCACCUGCCCUUCCAGCCCGCCCUCUGUGUGUCCAGUGUUUCCCUCACCAAAGGACUCGCUUUGUUUUUCAAAUUGGAGGUUUUGUCUUCUCCCUAAAAACCAAAACAUCUCCCUGAGAAGUAACUCCCUCAAGCUACUGAUACGGAAGGGGGGCGGGGAAGUGCUGGGAAGGGAAGGGUGUGGUCCCUGGCUAGGGCUCCACCCCCGGGCCUGUGCCCACAGACCUAGGUGAGGACAGGCAUUUCUGUUUUCGUGCUUAAAUGUUGGAUUUCCCAAGACUACCCUGGCCUACCACACCCUCAUUCUGUGCCUGUAAAAAAACCUGAGAGCUUAGCAGGCACGCACACAAGCCUCUGGACGUCAAGAGGAACACACCGGUGUAAGAGCAGACUGAUAGUGGCCCACGGCAGGCUGGCAGGCCAUCGACAGGCAGAACCACUCAGUGCAGCUGGAGGACAGCCUGGCCACGGAGCGGUCCGACUUCAGAGGGGAAAACCACCUCCCCACUCCGUCUCCCUUCUGGCUCCCCCAUCUGAGAGCUACUUCCACUCAAUAAAACCUUGCACUCAU
This 4574-nucleotide long non-coding RNA is filed under the name Homo sapiens (human). RNAcentral's name for it is "HSALNT0332107". Lineage: Eukaryota; Metazoa; Chordata; Mammalia; Primates; Hominidae. The record is from RNAcentral.